GUGUAAGGUGUGUUUCAGGAUUGAAUGGAAUUACAAGUUAGUUCUCCAAGCCGAAGGAAGCCAAAGAAUGCCAAUGUCAUUGAAGCCCAGAUCAUUAGUGAAUCAUGGUUUUGUGUAGAUGAUAUGGAAAGUGACAUAUGAAACGACUGCAGUUGAUGAAUUGUCAUUGGUAGACGUAUUCUAAUUUAGCCUCCUCGGGAUCGAUUCAUAAGGUCUGGUCGGACCGACCAGUUGAAGACGAGACAGUUUUGAAAAGUUUAACUGAAAACAUAAUUGAC
Molecule: non-coding RNA, 278 nt
Organism: Paramuricea clavata
Lineage: Eukaryota; Metazoa; Cnidaria; Anthozoa; Malacalcyonacea; Plexauridae
Source: the annotation of a GenBank genome assembly